Molecule: long non-coding RNA, 1630 nt
Filed under: Salmo salar (Atlantic salmon)
Lineage: Eukaryota; Metazoa; Chordata; Actinopteri; Salmoniformes; Salmonidae
Description: lncRNA (ENSSSAG00000116753.1)
Source: RNAcentral
UGACAUUAUAUGCUAGCUUGAAAAAUGGGUGUCUGAUUAUUUCUGGCUGGGUACUCGGCUGACAUAAUCUAAUGUUUUGCUUUCGCUGUAAAGCCUUUUUGAAAUCGGACAGUGUGGUUAGAUAAAGGAGAGUCUUGUCCUUAAAAUGCUGUGAAAUAGUCAUAUGUUUGAAAAAUUGAAGUUUUUGUAUUUUUGUAUUUUUGAGGAAUUUGUAAUUCGCGCCACGCCUAUCAUUGGAUAUUGGAGCAGGUGUUCCACUAGCAGAACGUCUAGAUGUAAGAGGUUAACCCUUCACAGUAAAAAGAAGGUGUUUAGAUCAAAAAGUGUGCAAUGACUUCUCUCCCCAUAGAAAUACAUUGACUAUUCUCAAAACAUCAACCUGAAGCCUAUGUGGGUUAUGAAUGCCUUAUGAACCUGUCUUCUAUAAAAAUCCAUCAGGCAACUGUGAGGUCUACCUGUGUAGAUUCUAAGGUUCCUGGAGCAACCGGAAGUUGCUAAAAUCACCCUAGAGCUACUGUCAUAUAAGCAACCUGCAGAUAGUGAAAAUCACGCAACUCAACCAUCUGUCAUUCAGUCAAUUCUUAAGGUAGAGACUUCAUAUUCAGGAUUCUGUUUAUGUCUACCCAAAAGACAACGUGUGUAGAGCAAGAGCUUCCUGUGACAACCGGAAGUUGUUAAAAACAGCCUAGAGCUAUUGUCAUAUAAAACGCACAUAGUGAAAAUCACGCAACUCAACCAUCUGUCAUUCAGUCAAUUUUUAAGGUAGAGACUUCAUAUUCAGGAUUCUGUUUAUGUCUACCCCAAAGACAACGUGUGUGGAGCAACAGCUUCCUGUGACAACCGGAAGUUGUUAAAAACAGCCUAAAGCAAUUGUCAUAUAAAAAGCACAUAGUGAAAAUCACGCAACUCAACCAUCUGUCAUUCAGUCAAUUCUUAAGGUAGAAACUUCAUAUUCAGGAUUCUGUUUAUGUCUACCCCAAAGACAACGUGUGUGGAGCAAGAGCUUCCUGUGACAACCGGAAGUUGUUAAAAACAGCCUAGAGCAAUUGUCAUAUAAAACGCACAUAGUGAAAAUCACGCAACUCAACCAUCUGUCAUUCAGUCAAUCCUUAAGGUAGAGACUUCAUAUUCAGGAUUCUGUUUAUCCCUACUCCAAAGACAACGUGUGUCUAUUCUUUUUGCCAAAAAAACUAAAACACACACACACACACACAAUUUGGCCAUAGGGACAUAGUGUGGGGCUUAGAGGCUUAUACCGCCUUCAAUAGUUAUUUUCGUUCAAACGAUUCAAGAACCUUUAGACCUAGAGCUCCGAAAUUUUAGAAACCUGUUCUAGAGCUCAAGUCGAUAGUGCACGGUGAUUUAUGUGGCUCUACAAGGUUCUCAGACCGAGAAACCGCCUCGUGCAUUUGCAAUAUGUUCAAUUCAUUUUGAAUAUCACGGACAUGGCGACAUGUAGAAAUGUCCCAGAGUCGCAAGACUAGGUGCAUUGAAACCACCUCGGCCCAUAGAGACGGACCCCAAUGUCUCUGUCCGAUAGCUCAUUCAGGGACCCCGUAGAUUGGUGACAUCUAGUGGAAGCAAUAGGAAGUGCCAAAAUAUUCCUAAGCCCCUGUGUUUUUCAAUGGGA